This 77-nucleotide transfer RNA is filed under the name Candidatus Eiseniibacteriota bacterium. Its description in RNAcentral is "Candidatus Eisenbacteria bacterium tRNA-Arg". It matches the Rfam family "tRNA". Rfam says of the family: Transfer RNA (tRNA) molecules are approximately 80 nucleotides in length. Their secondary structure includes four short double-helical elements and three loops (D, anti-codon, and T loops). Lineage: Bacteria; Candidatus Eiseniibacteriota. The record is from RNAcentral.
GCGCCUGUAGCUCAGCAGGAUAGAGCAACGGAUUUCUAAUCCGUCGGUCGGGGGUUCGAAUCCCUCCAGGCGUACCA